This 669-nucleotide ribosomal RNA is filed under the name uncultured bacterium. RNAcentral's name for it is "bacterial SSU rRNA". It matches the Rfam family "Bacterial small subunit ribosomal RNA", at positions 51 to 710 of the family's 1533-position model. The record is from RNAcentral.
ACACAUGCAAGUCGAGGGGCAGCAUGAACUUAGCUUGCUAAGUUUGAUGGCGACCGGCGCACGGGUGAGUAACACGUAUCCAACCUGCCGAUGACUCGGGGAUAGCCUUUCGAAAGAAAGAUUAAUACCCGAUGGCAUAGUUCUUCCGCAUGGUAGAACUAUUAAAGAAUUUCGGUCAUCGAUGGGGAUGCGUUCCAUUAGGUUGUUGGCGGGGUAACGGCCCACCAAGCCUUCGAUGGAUAGGGGUUCUGAGAGGAAGGUCCCCCACAUUGGAACUGAGACACGGUCCAAACUCCUACGGGAGGCAGCAGUGAGGAAUAUUGGUCAAUGGACGAGAGUCUGAACCAGCCAAGUAGCGUGAAGGAUGACUGCCCUAUGGGUUGUAAACUUCUUUUAUACGGGAAUAAAGUGAGGCACGUGUGCCUUUUUGUAUGUACCGUAUGAAUAAGGAUCGGCUAACUCCGUGCCAGCAGCCGCGGUAAUACGGAGGAUCCGAGCGUUAUCCGGAUUUAUUGGGUUUAAAGGGAGCGUAGGCGGACGCUUAAGUCAGUUGUGAAAGUUUGCGGCUCAACCGUAAAAUUGCAGUUGAUACUGGGUGUCUUGAGUACAGUAGAGGCAGGCGGAAUUCGUGGUGUAGCGGUGAAAUGCUUAGAUAUCACGAAGAACUCC